UGCAGCGGAGAGUGGGCGGGGAAAGAGAGGCCCUAGAUCCCUGGCGAGGGUUCGACCCAAGCGGAAUUCCUCCUUGGGAGCCGCAUCCCACGCGGGAGGGUGCGGGGGAGACUCGAAAGCAGGCCUGGCCAUCAUUGGCUGUGCAGCCUCUGGCAAAGCGGAGAAAUAUUGGCUAUUUUAUUAUAAGCAGCACCACCCAGGAGAACUGGAAGGAAGCUAAUGCACAAAAACCUGAACUCCCCAAUAGUGUAUAGGUUACAGAUUAUAGAAGCAGCUGCAUCUCGCUCCGGAGCGGUCCCAGAGGAAAGGCUGAAGGGCGGCUGCAGGGGCUUCAUCCCAGGCACCUCCUAGGAACUGAAGUUCUGCCUUUGCCGUUUUUUUUUUUUGAGGAGAUGCCUCAGGGCUUUUUCAGCUCAAACACACAUCUUCCAUUAUUCCGGAUGGCAAUAAUGAUCUUUGAGCUGGCUCUAGCUGCUCACACGAUCUCUCUCCAUCCUGACAAUGACCUGCAUCUCCGUCACCUCUGUGUCCUUAGCAUCUAGCAUGAUGCCUGGAAUAUAGCGCUGCUCCAAGUUGUGUGUGAUGAACAAUCCUCUGAGUCCGGUAGAGGUGACUCCUUUGACUCCUGGCUCUUUGACUCUUGGUCUUAAAAUUAAACUUACUUUCUGUGUGUUUAUUUUAAAUAAAUAUUAAUGUGCAAUUAAAC
Myotis brandtii (Brandt's bat) is the source of this 706-nucleotide long non-coding RNA. RefSeq lists it as uncharacterized. The record is from RefSeq and is a predicted model, not a curated record. The transcript has 3 exons. Lineage: Eukaryota; Metazoa; Chordata; Mammalia; Chiroptera; Vespertilionidae.